UUUCACCCCGCUGAGUGCAGACAUGGAGCCGCUAUAACUCUCACACACCGCCGGGACCACAGCGCCGGAUAUGCGCCUACCUGUUACCUAGUCUGCAGCUUCAGCGCAACAGGUCCCUGAUUUGGUCGGCGUUGGCUCACUUGCACUAGACACCUGAUAUCACCCUCUCCCGGCGUGGAUCAUCACGUCUCGGAUCCCUGAGACACCCCGAACUAUAAAUAUGGAUUCGAAUCGAGAGGCUCGCCUCCAGAGUCCGUUUUUAAUCCCCUCGGCUAUUUUUGGACUCCCCGCUGGCGCGAAGGUGGCCGCACGUCUGCCUCGAUUCUAGCCGUUCUGUUGAUCCGCCUGCACCGGUCGCGAGACGUGUCCCAAACCAAGACGUCAAGGUGCUAAAUGUUGACAAUCAUCACCGGGAGACCACGACAGGGAACGCGAAGGAGCCAAGCGUGCUUCCACAAUCAAGACAUAAACGAAGUAAAGCCAUGAGAAGAUCAGACGUGUGCUAGAUCUUCACCUUGACAUGCACCACGCUUCAUUUUAAAGCUUUUUAAACUUUGAA
Trichomycterus rosablanca is the source of this 559-nucleotide long non-coding RNA. RefSeq lists it as uncharacterized. The record is from RefSeq and is a predicted model, not a curated record. NCBI's taxonomy places the organism in Eukaryota, Metazoa, Chordata, Actinopteri, Siluriformes, Trichomycteridae. The transcript is spliced from 2 exons.